GGAAGAACGGCGGAUAGGAGGUGGAGGAGGAAGAACGGCGGAAUCCAGCUGCCUUGCUGUGCACUACCCCAUGAGAAGCCCACAUAGUAAGGAACUUAGAGCCAACAGCCUGCAAUAAACUGAAUCCUGCCAACAGCCGUGUGUGUGAGCCUAGCAGCAGAUCCACUUCGGUGGAGGUUAAAGAGGACCCCAGCCACACUUGAUAUCUUGAUUGUGGCCUUGUGAGAGACUUUGAGCCACAGAAUCCAGUUAAACUGUGCCUGGACUCGUGAUGCAAAGAGAUUGUGAGACAGUAAAAAUGUUGAUUUAAGCCACAAAA
This is a non-coding RNA of Macaca mulatta (Rhesus monkey), 319 nucleotides long. NCBI's taxonomy places the organism in Eukaryota, Metazoa, Chordata, Mammalia, Primates, Cercopithecidae. The record is from RefSeq and is a predicted model, not a curated record.